CCUAAGAGAUACGCGUUAUGUGCAGUGCUCACACAGAUUGUCUGAUGAAGAACGAGCAAAAGCGCGUCUGCGAAGCUGACAAAAGUCCCCUUCGUCUAGAGGCCUAGGACACCGCCCUUUCACGGCGGUAACAGGGGUUCGAAUCCCCUAGGGGACGCCAAUGCGCGGUAUGAGUGAAAGGUGUACCACUUAUCUGACGAGAGUCAGAGAAUAACUAAGCUAAUUCAAACGAGUUAUCUUACUUAUUAUGCUCUUUAACAAUCUGGAACAAGCUGAAAAAUUGAAAACAAAUCAAUAUAUCACCGAGGUAUAUUGGUGAGUCUCUCAAAAUCUCAAACCUUAAAGUUUGUCACGCAAAGUUUAUCUUUGAAAAAGACACUUUCGGGUUGUGA
This 392-nucleotide unclassified non-coding RNA is filed under the name Proteus mirabilis. RNAcentral's name for it is "partial 16S-23S ribosomal RNA intergenic spacer". The stretch from base 85 to 157 matches the Rfam family "tRNA". Lineage: Bacteria; Pseudomonadati; Pseudomonadota; Gammaproteobacteria; Enterobacterales; Morganellaceae. The record is from RNAcentral.